Molecule: ribosomal RNA, 568 nt
Filed under: uncultured archaeon
Lineage: Archaea
Description: bacterial SSU rRNA
Rfam family: Archaeal small subunit ribosomal RNA
Source: RNAcentral
CGGGGUGCAGCAGGCGCGAAAACUUUACAAUGCUGGAAACAGCGAUAAGGGGACCUCGAGUGCCAGGUUACAAAUCUGGCUGUCGUGAUGCCUAAAAAGCAUUGCAUAGCAAGGGCCGGGCAAGACCGGUGCCAGCCGCCGCGGUAACACCGGCGGCUCGAGUGGUAACCGUUAUUAUUGGGUCUAAAGGGUCUGUAGCCGGCCGGAUAAGUCUCUUGGGAAAUCCAGCAGCUCAACUGUUGGGCUUUCAGGAGAUACUGUCUGGCUCGAGGCCGGGAGAGGUGAGAGGUACUUCAGGGGUAGGGGUGAAAUCUUGUAAUCCUUGAAGGACCACCAGUGGCGAAGGCGUCUCACCAGAACGGACCUGACGGCAAGGGACGAAAGCUAGGGGCACGAACCGGAUUAGAUACCCGGGUAGUCCUAGCCGUAAACGAUACUCGCUAGGUGUCGGCCACGGUGCGACCGUUGUCGGUGCCGUAGGGAAGCCGUGAAGCGAGCCACCUGGGAAGUACGGCCGCAAGGCUGAAACUUAAAGGAAUUGGCGGGGGAGCACAAGGGCGAAUUCGCG